GAUACUUGUGAUCAGCAGAUUCUAAGAUGACCCCGAAGAUUUCUACCUGCUGAUGUAUAGUCAAGCACUGAUCUAGGAGACACAGUACAUGAAAGUACCAGAAUGGACUUUAUCUAAUUUCCUCUCAACAUUAUAAUCAUCUUGAGUUUUGUUUAUUUGCCAUUCCUCACCUGCUCUAUUUGCUUUUAUUGAUUUAUUAAAAUGUUCCUUGAAUGUUUCAACAUGAGAGGAAGAGGAACUGGUUGAAGAAUUGCAGAGCCAUCGAGCUCUUCUGAAAAAUAAACAAAUGACCACAGCA
Suricata suricatta (meerkat) is the source of this 298-nucleotide long non-coding RNA. RefSeq lists it as uncharacterized. NCBI's taxonomy places the organism in Eukaryota, Metazoa, Chordata, Mammalia, Carnivora, Herpestidae. The record is from RefSeq and is a predicted model, not a curated record. The transcript has 2 exons.